UGAGGAAUAUUGAGCAAUGGGCGCAAGCCUGACUCANCAACGCCGCGUGGAUGAUGACGGCCUUCGGGUUGUAAAGCACUUUUAUGAGGGAAGAGCAAGGACUGUACCUCAUGAAUAAGGAUCGGCUAACUACGUG
Molecule: ribosomal RNA, 136 nt
Filed under: uncultured bacterium
Lineage: Bacteria
Description: partial 16S ribosomal RNA
Rfam family: Bacterial small subunit ribosomal RNA
Source: RNAcentral